RNAcentral lists this ribosomal RNA (674 nucleotides) under Gemmatimonadota bacterium. RNAcentral's name for it is "partial 23S ribosomal RNA". It matches the Rfam family "Bacterial large subunit ribosomal RNA", at positions 1 to 611 of the family's 2925-position model. The record is from RNAcentral. Lineage: Bacteria; Pseudomonadati; Gemmatimonadota.
GAUCAAGCGUAAAAGGGCAUUCAGGGGAUGCCUUGGCGCCAGGAGUCGAUGAAGGACGUAGUUGGUUGCGAUAAGCGACGGUUAGCCGCCAACAGGCUUUAACCCGUCGAUUUCCGAAUCGGAAAACCGGUCGUGUGGAAACGCACGUCAUCAUACGCUGAAUUCAUAGGCGUGUGAGGGUAACCAGGAGAAUUGAAACAUCUUAGUAUCCUGAGGAAAAGAAAGCAGAGCGAUUCCCUUAGUAGCGGCGAGCGAAAAGGGAACAGUCUAAACCGAAUGUGUGUCAAGCUCACAGGCGUUGCUCAUUCGGUGUUGUGGGAUUUAUCCGGACCGGGCUGUGGACAGGUCGGAGAGUUAUAAAAGUAUUAUCUAGCCGAAGGACCUGGGAAGGUCCGCCGUAGAGGGUGAGAGCCCCGUAGGCGAAAGGUUUUGCUCUCUCUGGGAUAAAUUCCCAAGUAGCGCGGGGCACGUGAAACCUUGCGUGAAUCUGGGUGGACCAUCAUCCAAGACUAAAUACUCCCUGGCGACCGAUAGUGAACCAGUACCGUGAGGGAAAGGUGAAAAGAACCCCUGUUAGGGGAGUGAAACAGUACCUGAAACCGUAUGCCUACAAGCAGUGGGAGGGCGUUUAUCGGGGGCUUGCUCCCGAUGUUGCCUGACCGCGUGCCUUUUGC